GGAACGCGUUUUCGGAUCGUAAAGCUCUGUUGUUAGGGAAGAACAAGUACCGUUCGAAUAGGGCGGUACCUUGACGGUACCUAACCAGAAAGCCACGGCUAACUACGUGCCAGCAGCCGCGGUAAUACGUAGGUGGCAAGCGUUGUCCGGAAUUAUUGGGCGUAAAGGGCUCGCAGGCGGUUUCUUAAGUCUGAUGUGAAAGCCCCCGGCUCAACCGGGGAGGGUCAUUGGAAACUGGGGAACUUGAGUGCAGAAGAGGAGAGUGGAAUUCCACGUGUAGCGGUGAAAUGCGUAGAGAUGUGGAGGAACACCAGUGGCGAAGGCGACUCUCUGGUCUGUAACUGACGCUGAGGAGCGAAAGCGUGGGGAGCGAACAGGAUUAGAUACCCUGGUAGUCCACGCCGUAAACGAUGAGUGCUAAGUGUUAGGGGGUUUCCGCCCCUUAGUGCUGCAGCUAACGCAUUAAGCACUCCCCCCUUGGGGGAGA
Molecule: ribosomal RNA, 487 nt
Filed under: Bacillus sp. (in: firmicutes)
Lineage: Bacteria; Bacillati; Bacillota; Bacilli; Caryophanales; Bacillaceae
Description: bacterial SSU rRNA
Rfam family: Bacterial small subunit ribosomal RNA
Source: RNAcentral